GUGGGGAAUAUUGGACAAUGGGCGAAAGCCUGAUCCAGCCAUGCCGCGUGUGUGAAGAAGGUCUUCGGAUUGUAAAGCACUUUAAGUUGGGAGGAAGGGCAGUAAGUUAAUACCUUGCUGUUUUGACGUUACCGACAGAAUAAGCACCGGCUAACUUCGUGCCAGCAGCCGCGGUAAUACGAAGGGUGCAAGCGUUAAUCGGAAUUACUGGGCGUAAAGCGCGCGUAGGUGGUGUUGUAAGUUGGAGGUGAAAUCCCCGGGCUCAAACUGGGAACUGCCUCCAAAACUGCAUGACUAGAGUACGGUAGAGGGUAGUGGAAUUUCCUGUGUAGCGGUGAAAUGCGUAGAUAUAGGAAGGAACACCAGUGGCGAAGGCGACUACCUGGACUGAUACUGACACUGAGGUGCGAAAGCGUGGGGAGCAAACAGGAUUAGAUACCCGUGUAGUCC
RNAcentral lists this ribosomal RNA (450 nucleotides) under uncultured bacterium. RNAcentral's name for it is "partial 16S ribosomal RNA". It matches the Rfam family "Bacterial small subunit ribosomal RNA", at positions 354 to 796 of the family's 1533-position model. The record is from RNAcentral.